CUGGCCUAGCGUAGACUGNNNNGAAUACUAGCGUGGACUGGCAACCCUGCACGGUCAGCCACUCGACUAGGUCAGAAGNNCACCACGGUAGCGUCGAUGCGCGUCGAAGCGUAUCACCUGCAGAUUNAUACUCUGUAGCUGUGACGUUACCCACAGAAGAAGCACCGGCUAACUCCUGCCAGCAGCCGCGGUAAUACGGGGUGCAAGCGUUAAUCGGAUUUAUUUGGGCGUAAAGCCCGCGUAGGCGGCUUGUUAAGUCGGAUGUGAAAGCCCUGGGCUCAACCCCGGGAACUGCAUUCGAUACUGGCGGGCUAGAGUACGAUAGAGGGUUAGGUAGAAUUCCUAGUGUAGGGGGUGAAAUGCGUAGAUAUUAGGAGGAAUACCGGUGGCGAGGCGGCCACCUGGAUCGAUACUGACGCUGAAGUGCGAAAGCGUGGGAGCAAACAGGUUAGAUACCCUGGGAGUCCACGCCGAAACUAUGUCAACUAGCCGUUGGGAGACUUGCUCUCUUAGUGGCGCAGCUAACGCCGAAAAGUAGACCGCUGGGGGAGUACGGUCGCAAGACUUUAAACUCAAAUGAAUUGACGGGGGCCAAGCACAAGCCUGGAGCAUGUGGAGUUAAUUCGAUGCAACGCGAAGAACCUUACCAGGUCUUGACACCUGCGAACCUUUCACGAGUGAGAGGGUGCCUUCGGGAGCGUAGACAGGUGCUGCAUGGCUGUCGUCAGCUCGUGUCGUGAGAUCCUAGCAUCAAGCUG
Molecule: ribosomal RNA, 758 nt
Filed under: uncultured Gammaproteobacteria bacterium
Lineage: Bacteria; Pseudomonadati; Pseudomonadota; Gammaproteobacteria
Description: bacterial SSU rRNA
Rfam family: Bacterial small subunit ribosomal RNA
Source: RNAcentral